GAAGGUGGCAAGCGUUAUUCGGAUUUACUGGGCGUACAGGGAGCGUAGGCGGUUCGGUAAGCCCUCUGUGAAAUCUUCAGGCUUAACCUGGAAAAGUCGGAGGGGACUGCUGGGCUAGAGGACGGGAGAGGAGCGCGGAAUUCCCGGUGUAGCGGUGAAAUGCGUAGAGAUCGGAAGGAAGGCCGGUGGCGAAGGCGGCGCUCUGGAACGUUUCUGACGCUGAGGCUCGAAAGCGUGGGGAGCAAACAGGAUUAGAUACCCUGGUAGUCCACGCCUUAAACUAUGAAUACUAAGUGUCGGCGGUUUACCGCCGGUGCCGCAGCUAACGCAUUAAGUAUUCCGCCUGGGAAGUACGGCCGCAAGGUUG
RNAcentral lists this ribosomal RNA (367 nucleotides) under uncultured bacterium. RNAcentral's name for it is "bacterial SSU rRNA". It matches the Rfam family "Bacterial small subunit ribosomal RNA", at positions 527 to 896 of the family's 1533-position model. The record is from RNAcentral.